GACAGCACAGCCUAUGACCCUCAAGGCUGUCAAUAAGUACUAGUGAAUCAAUGAAUUAAUCAAUGGGUGGCUGUGGUAAAAGGAACUGACCUAACAAGAACUUCUAAACUUUAUUGAAUGUUUAUUUGUGUGCCAGAAACUUUAAUGUACUUUAAUUUAUUUAAUCCAAACAACAAGACAUUAUGGUAGGCUCUAUUUUUAUUUCCAUUUUUGAAAUGAGGAAACUAAAGCUUACAAAAGUUAAAUCCCAAGGCCAAGACCAUACAACCAGGUCUAAUGCUUUUCAUGAUCAUAACACAUGGUCUUAAAUGCCUUUUUUUGGCUUUCACCAAAUAGUAAUAGAAAAAACAUUCAACUUUGACAUUUUAAUUUAGCAUAACACUCAUUAAAUAAUCCAGUGCUUCCACAAUCAGGUAGAACAUGGCUUCAUAUUCCAUAGGGCUCUACCUCAGUUUAUUCAUUCAUAAGGUAGAAAUGAUGAAGCCUGCCUCUUCUCUGGGAGAUUAUGAGAUUUAAUGAGGGCAAUGGUUAUUAUGCUUUGAAGUUAGAAAGUGCUUAUUAAUAUCAGGGAUCAUGAUUAUGUUUCCCAAUAAGAUAUCCUUGUCUUUAAAGCCAGUUGCCUGGGAUGAGCCCCAAGGUUCCCCAGAGGGAAUGGUAAAGGGAACAUUCACGUUGGAUGCCUAAUUCAGCCCAUAUGGUUUUGCAGUGAUUCCAUAAGUGAGGAGGAGAGGAAAUAAUCCCAUCUUUUUAACUUUCAAGUGUGGGAACAUUAGAGUUUGCUCCUUAAUGAUCAUAACAUUCAGGAAUGUUGGCACCUUUUCUUCCUGACUUCACGUUACGAAACCCAGGGAGUGUUGAGUAACAGGAUGUACGUUCAUGCCAUUUUCAGUUUCUUUGGGGGUUCGUUUUGGGAAACCUUCCUUCAAGCAAGAGCUUCAGUGGUUAGACACAGAACAGCCCUUUAACCUCAGGGCUGUUGUCUCCAAUGUGGUGUAAAGGUCCUGAAGUGUGGAGUAAGAGUUGGAUUCUGUUCCUGAUCAGUUAGGAGCCAUUGUUUGCAAAUAUGUUCCCCGAUGGAAAAGGAUCAGAUCCCGGACGGUUGAUUAGACAAAAUUGGAAAUCAUACAGGAGGAAACGGUGGGUGUGGUCAUGAGGAUGUAUUGAUUGUGAAUUAUCUAAAUUUUUUUCCUGUUCCACUAAUUGAAAAACAUGGAGUGCUCUUCAAUGGAAAGACCAGUUCUUUGAAAUUUGGAACAAUGCAUUUUCUUCAUUGCCAAAAAGACCCUGAGCACACCCAAUUGUGUACAAAAAGAACCAAGAAGAAUGCAGAGCACACGGUAGUAGUUCAGUCAAUGAUUAUGGAAUAAAGAAGGAAGAAAAUGAAGGCAAGAGCUUGCAGUAAGUUGUGCAGAAUCACAGAGCUACUACGGACAGAGCUGCACUUGAAGUCAUGUCUAACUAGUUCCAAAGUCUUUGCAGUUUGCACCCCAAAAAGCUGCUGAUGCCUGGAGAAAAAUAAUGGCUAAUAUUUACUAAAUGUUUACUGUGUGUCGGAUACUGUUCUAAAUUCUUCACAUACAUCAAAUUAUUUCUUCCCGCUGGAAAAAAACAAAAACCUGUGUGGUAGAUACUAUUAAUAGUAUCCCCAUUUUCCAGAUCAAGUUACAGAGACUUUGAGAGUUAUGGAAUUUUUCCAAGAUUAUAAAUUUUGUAAAUUAUUGAGAGGAAUUUGGACACAGGCAGACUUACUCCAGAGCCGUCCUUGUUAUUCAGAGUGAACAUGGCUUAUGAAACAAGGACUACAGAAGUUUUAAGAGUGAGGGCACAGCCAGCUUGAUGAGUGGAGAAUGGUGGUCAUAGACAAUCUGAGUUGGAAAGCAUUUUAGUGGUCACAUCUCACCCAAACCUGCUUAUCUGGUAGUUUAAAACCAUGUUCAGUGGAGCCUUAAAUAUCUCCUAAUGGCAGCUCAGGCCUCCUGCAGAGUCCAAGGGUACAUCAGUUAUGCUCUUGCCCAUCCUGGUUUUCCUUUUGUCUGCUAUACAUUUUAUGCUUUUCUAUAUGGAUUAAUUUGAAUAAUGGUUCUCUAGCUUUAAAAGCUUGAAAGUCUCUCUCCUAUUUAUGACAUCUGGGUGUGGUCAUCCAGCCAUCCUUCAAUACUUCCACUAGUGUGGAAUUUAUUACUUAGUAAGGUUGUUUAUUCCAAUUUCUGAUAUAUUGGAAAGCUCUUUGCUUUAUAAGUCAAAUUUUAUCUCCAUAUAAGACCCAUAUUUCCAAAGCAAAUAGCAUUCAUUUGAUGGCCUAAAGUGUGGUCUAUCUUGAUGAAUUUUCCAUGCUGUUGUACUCUGCUGUUGUUGAGUGGAAUGUUCUAUAAAUGUCGAUUGGGUAAAGCUGGCUGAUAGCGUUGUACAGCUCUUGUGUAUCUUUAUUGAUUUCUUGAACACUUGUCCUAGCAAUUAAUGACACAGAGGCGUUGAAGCCUCCAACUUUAAUUGUGGAUUUGUCUAUUUCUCCUUUCC
Long non-coding RNA from Orcinus orca (killer whale), 2517 nucleotides. RefSeq lists it as uncharacterized. The record is from RefSeq and is a predicted model, not a curated record. The transcript is spliced from 3 exons. Lineage: Eukaryota; Metazoa; Chordata; Mammalia; Artiodactyla; Delphinidae.